This 510-nucleotide ribosomal RNA is filed under the name uncultured bacterium. RNAcentral describes it as "bacterial SSU rRNA". It matches the Rfam family "Bacterial small subunit ribosomal RNA", at positions 791 to 1300 of the family's 1533-position model. The record is from RNAcentral.
UAGUCCACGCCGUAAACGAUGUCUGCUAGCCGUCGGGGCACUUGGUGUUUCGGUGGCGCCGCUAACGCAUUAAGCAGACCGCCUGGGGAGUACGGUCGCAAGAUUAAAACUUAAAGGAAUUGACGGGGGCCCGCACAAGCAGUGGAGCAUGUGGUUUAAUUCGAAGCAACGCGCAGAACCUUACCAGCCCUUGACAUCCCGUGCUACAUCCAGAGAUGGAUGGUUCCCUUCGGGGACGCGGUGACAGGUGCUGCAUGGCUGUCGUCAGCUCGUGUCGUGAGAUGUUGGGUUAAGUCCCGUAACGAGCGCAACCCCUAUCCUUAGUUGCCAGCGAGUAAUGUCGGGGACUCUAGGGAGACUGCCGGUGACAAACCGGAGGAGGGUGGGGAUGACGUCAAGUCACCAUGGCCCUUAUGGGCUGGGCUACACACGUGCUACAAUGGUCGGUACAGAGGGCAGCGAAGUCGCGAGGCGGAGCAAAUCUCAGAAAACCGAUCUUAGUCCGGAUUG